RNAcentral lists this ribosomal RNA (792 nucleotides) under uncultured Pelagibacteraceae bacterium. Its description in RNAcentral is "bacterial SSU rRNA". It matches the Rfam family "Bacterial small subunit ribosomal RNA", at positions 44 to 884 of the family's 1533-position model. Lineage: Bacteria; Pseudomonadati; Pseudomonadota; Alphaproteobacteria; Candidatus Pelagibacterales; Candidatus Pelagibacteraceae. The record is from RNAcentral.
ACGCCUUAUACAUGCAAGUCGAACGAAGUAGCAAUACUUAGUGGCAGACGGGUGAGUAACAUGUAGGUAUCUUCCCUUUGGUGAGGAAUAACACGAGGAAACUUGUGCUAAUACCUCAUAAGUCUUUACGGAGAAAGCUUUACGCGCCGAAGGAUGAGCCUGCACUUGAUUAGUUAGUUGGUGGGGUAAUGGCCUACCAAGACUUUGAUCUAUAGCUGAUCUGAGAGGAUGAUCAGCCACAUUGGGACUGAGACACGGCCCAAACUCCUACGGGAGGCAGCAGUAGGGAAUAUUGCACAAUGGAGGAAACUCUGAUGCAGCGAUGCCGCGUGAGUGAAGAAGGCCUUUGGGUUGUAAAGCUCUUUCGUCGGGGAAGAAAAUGACUGUACCCGAAUAAGAAGGUCCGGCUAACUUCGUGCCAGCAGCCGCGGUAAUACGAAGGGACCUAGCGUAGUUCGGAAUUACUGGGCUUAAAGAGUUCGUAGGUGGUUAAAAAAGUUGGUGGUGAAAUCCCAGAGCUUAACUCUGGAACUGCCAUCAAAACUUUUUAGCUAGAGUGUGAUAGAGGAAAGCAGAAUUUCUAGUGUAGAGGUGAAAUUCGUAGAUAUUAGAAAGAAUACCAAUUGCGAAGGCAGCUUUCUGGAUCAUUACUGACGCUGAGGAACGAAAGCAUGGGUAGCGAAGAGGAUUAGAUACCCUCGUAGUCCAUGCCGUAAACGAUGUGUGUUAGACGUUGGAAAUUUAUUUUCAGUGUCGCAGCGAAAGCAUUAAACACACCGCCUGGGGAGUACG